RNAcentral lists this unclassified non-coding RNA (241 nucleotides) under Hevea brasiliensis (rubber tree). The record is from RNAcentral. Lineage: Eukaryota; Viridiplantae; Streptophyta; Magnoliopsida; Malpighiales; Euphorbiaceae.
AAAGAGAUUUCAGCUGAAAAUAUAAUUGGGAUAGCUGUGCAUAAUUGUGUUCAACUGCAUGAAAAUAUUCUGCAUGAUGAAAUGCCAAAUAGUUGAUAAGAGCUGAAUGAUGUGAUGUCAUUGACUUUGACAAACCUAUUUUCUAAAUUUACAGCUAGCCAGCGACAAAACGUGUUUACAUGAUAUUGUAUCAGUCAAUUAUAUUGAUAUGUCAAAUUUUAUUAAUUAUAGAGGAAGCGAG